This 421-nucleotide ribosomal RNA is filed under the name uncultured eukaryote. RNAcentral's name for it is "SSU rRNA". It matches the Rfam family "Eukaryotic small subunit ribosomal RNA", at positions 592 to 1018 of the family's 1831-position model. The record is from RNAcentral.
CAACAGCGUAUAUUAAAGUUGUUGCAGUUAAAACGCUCGUAGUCGGAUUUCGGGGCGGGCGGGCCGGUCUGCCGAUGGGUAUGCACUGGUCUGGCCGUCCUUCCUUCCGGAGACCGUGCGUGCUCUUAACUGAGUGCGCUCGGGAGACGGAUCGUUUACUUUGAAAAAUCAGAGUGUUUCAAGCAGGCAGCUCGCUCUUGCAUGGAUUAGCAUGGGAUAAUGAAAUAGGACUUUGGUGCUAUUUUGUUGGUUUCGAACACCGAAGUAAUGAUUAACAGGGACAGUCAGGGGCACUCGUAUUCCGCCGAGAGAGGUGAAAUUCUCAGACCAGCGGAAGACGAACCACUGCGAAAGCAUUUGCCAGGGAUGUUUUCACUGAUCAAGAACGAAAGUUAGGGGAUCGAAGACGAUUAGAUACCAU